RNAcentral lists this ribosomal RNA (573 nucleotides) under Aleuria aurantia (orange peel mushroom). Its description in RNAcentral is "eukaryotic LSU rRNA". It matches the Rfam family "Eukaryotic large subunit ribosomal RNA", at positions 1 to 576 of the family's 3401-position model. The record is from RNAcentral. Lineage: Eukaryota; Fungi; Ascomycota; Pezizomycetes; Pezizales; Pyronemataceae.
UUGACCUCGGAUCAGGUAGGGAUACCCGCUGAACUUAAGCAUAUCAAUAAGCGGAGGAAAAGAAACCAACAGGGAUUGCCUUAGUAACUGCGAGUGAAGCGGCAAAAGCUCAAAUUUGAAAUCUGGCGUCUUCGGCGUCCGAGUUGUAAUUUGGAGGGAUAUCUUCGGAGUUGGCGCCGUCCUAAGUUCCUUGGAACAGGACGUCAUAGAGGGUGAGAAUCCCGUGCCUGGAUGGCUGUCCAUCUCCAUGUGAAGUGUCUCCGACGAGUCGAGUUGUUUGGGAAUGCAGCUCAAAAUGGGUGGUAAAUUUCAUCUAAAGCUAAAUAUUGGCGAGAGACCGAUAGCGCACAAGUAGAGUGAUCGAAAGAUGAAAAGCACUUUGAAAAGAGAGUUAAAAAGUACGUGAAAUUGUUGAAAGGGAAGCGCUUGAGACCAGACUCAAUCUUUGGUGAUCAGCUGUGCUUCUGUACAGUGCACUUGCCAUUGAUUGGGCCAGCAUCGGUUCUGACGGUGGGAUAAAAGUUUGAGGAAUGUGGCUCUCUUCGGGGAGUGUUAUAGCCUCGAUCAUAAUGC